RNAcentral lists this long non-coding RNA (2023 nucleotides) under Calidris pugnax (ruff). RNAcentral's name for it is "lncRNA (ENSCPUG00000001881.1)". Lineage: Eukaryota; Metazoa; Chordata; Aves; Charadriiformes; Scolopacidae. The record is from RNAcentral.
UUAUUUUGCCAUAAUAUUUUAAGAUUUCGUGCUUUAAAAUGUUAGGGCUUUUUUUCCUGCAAUAUUUUAGGAUUUUGUGCUUCAAUUUUUUUUUUUGACAUCGUAUUUUAGGGAUUUUUGCUGUAAUUUUAGGCUUUUUUUUUCCAUAACAUUUUUGUGGGGUUUUUUUCCUAUAAUAUAUUAGGUUGGGUUUUUUUUGCUGCAAUAUUUUAGGUUUUUUUUGCCCUAGUGUUUUUGGUGUUUUGUGCUUUAACAUUUUAGUUUUUUUUUUCUGUAAUAUUUUAGUGGUUUUUUCCUGUAACAUUUCAGGGGUUGUUCUUGGUAUAAUUUUAUUUCCGGAUUUUUUUUCCCUGAUGUGUUUGGGGUUUUUCCCUGUAACAUUUCAGGGAUUUUUCUCUGCAUAAUUUUAUUUCAGGAUUUUUUUUCCCUAAUGUAUUUGGGUCUUUUCCCAUAAUAUUUUAGGUUUGUUUUUUAUUUUUGUCAUAUUUCAGGGUAUUUUUCUGUGGUAUCGUGGGCCCUUCCCCUCACACUCGCCGCCCCCGAUCCCUCCACCCCUGGGGUUGCCCCAAAUGAGGAUUUCCGUUGCGGGGGGUGUUUUUUUGCCCGUUUUCCCUGUUUUUCCAGGCGUACUGCGUGACGGAGCCGGGGGCGGGCUCGGACGUGGCCGGGAUCAAGACGAAGGCCGAGCGCAAGGGGGACGAGUACGUCAUCAACGGGCAGAAGAUGUGGAUCACCAACGGCGGCAAGGCCAACUGGUAUUUUUUACUGGCUCGGACGGAUCCGGACCCAAAAACCCCGGCCAGCAAAGCCUUCACCGGGUUCAUCGUGGAGGCCGACAGCCCCGGCAUCCAGGUCGGGAGGAAGGAGCUGAACAUGGGCCAGCGCUGCUCGGACACGCGGGGGAUCCUCUUCGAGGACGUGCGGGUGCCCAAGGAGAACGUCCUCCUGGGCGAGGGCGCCGGCUUCAAGAUCGCCAUGGGGGCCUUCGACAAGACCCGCCCCCCCGUGAGUCCCCACAGCCCCCCCAAAUUCCACAUUCCCUCCAAAAUCCCCAUUUGGGUUUGGUGUUUUUACCCCUUUUCCCCCGUUUCUCCCGUGGGCGCAGGUGGCGGCGGGCGCCGUGGGCCUGGCCAGAAGAGCCAUGGACGAGGCCACCAAGUACGCGCUGGAGAGGAAGACCUUCGGGAAACCCAUCGCUGAGGUGAGUUCAAAUGAAAAAAACCACAAUUCUGUAAAGAGAUCAAAAAAAGAAAAUGUCGAAAAUGGAUAUUUUCACCCGCUCCUGGGGAAUUUUCAGAUUUCCUUGAUAUUUAGGGUGUGAGGGUUUAUUUUCUCUCCGCCGUCGCUUGGGGUUUCUGCUAAAAUCUCAGUGUUGAGGAAGUUCUCAAUCCACAAAUUUUAGAGUCCUCAAUCUGUGAAUUUUAGAAUCCUCAAUCUGUGAAUUUUAGAAUCCUCCUCCACAAAUUUUAGAAUUCUUAAUCCAUGAGGUUUAGAAUUCUCAAUUUGUUACUUUCAGAAUUCUCAUCCCCAAAUUUCAGAAUUCUCAAUCUGUGAAUUUUAGAAUCUUCAAUCCCUGAAUUUCAGAAUCCUCACCCACAAAUUUUAGAAUCUUUAUCCACAGAUUUCAGACUCUUCGGUCUGUCAAUUUUAGAAUCCUCUAUUGUGACUUUUAGAAUGUGCAUCCACAAGUUUUAGAACUCUCAGUCCAGGAAUUUUAGAAUCCUCAUCCCCAAAUUUCAGAAUUCUCAAUCCAUGAAUAUUAGAAUCAUCAUCCAUGAACUUUAGAAUCCUCAAAUUCUAGAAUUCUCAUCGACAAAUUUCAGAAUUCUCAAUCCAUGGGUUUUGGAAUCCUCGAUACUCAAAUUUUAGAAUUUUUGAUACGUUUUAGAAUCCUCAAUACCUGGAUUUUAGAAUCCUCGAUUGUGGAUUUUUGAGUCCUCGAUUGUAAAUUUUUGAGUCCUUGAUGUGAAUUUUUGAGUCCUUGAUUGUGAAUCUCCUCUGACCCCUGUCCCAUCCAUCCCAU